This 253-nucleotide ribosomal RNA is filed under the name uncultured bacterium. RNAcentral describes it as "partial 16S ribosomal RNA". It matches the Rfam family "Bacterial small subunit ribosomal RNA", at positions 524 to 776 of the family's 1533-position model. The record is from RNAcentral.
UACGAAGGGGGCUAGCGUUGUUCGGAAUUACUGGGCGUAAAGGGCGCGUAGGCGGUGUGUCAAGUCAGGCGUGAAAGCCCCGGGCUCAACCGGGGAAGUGCCUUUGAUACUGAUGGUCUCGAGGGGGAUAGGGGCGUGCGGAACUUCCGGUGGAGCGGUGAAAUGCGUAGAUAUCGGAAGGAACACCGGUGGCGAAAGCGGCGCGCUGGAUCCCUUCUGACGCUGAGGCGCGAAAGCCAGGGGAGCGAACGGG